AUUGAACGCUGGCGGAAUGCUUUACACAUGCAAGUCGAGCGGCAGCGCGGGGCAACCUGGCGGCGAGCGGCGAACGGGUGAGUAAUGCAUCGGAACAUGUCCAUGUCGUGGGGGAUAGCCCGGCGAAAGCCGGAUUAAUACCGCAUACGCCCGAGAGGGGAAAGCCGGGGACCGCAAGGCCUGGCGCGAUUGGGUUGGCCGAUGUCCGAUUAGCUAGUUGGUGGGUAAAGGCCCACCAAGGCGAUGAUCGGUAGCUGGUCUGAGAGGAUGAUCAGCCACACUGGGACUGAGACACGGCCCAGACUCCUACGGGAGGCAGCAGUGGGAAUUUUGGACAAUGGGGAAA
This 346-nucleotide ribosomal RNA is filed under the name uncultured bacterium. RNAcentral describes it as "bacterial SSU rRNA". It matches the Rfam family "Bacterial small subunit ribosomal RNA", at positions 29 to 379 of the family's 1533-position model. The record is from RNAcentral.